GAUGAACGCUGGCAGCGUGCCUAAUACAUGCAAGUCGAGCGAACAGACGAGGAGCUUGCUCCUCUGACGUUAGCGGCGGACGGGUGAGUAACACGUGGAUAACCUACCUAUAAGACUGGGAUAACUUCGGGAAACCGGAGCUAAUCCCGGAUAAUAUAUUGAACCGCAUGGUUCAAUAGUGAAAGACGGUUUUGCUGUCACUUAUAGAUGGAUCCGCGCCGCAUUAGCUAGUUGGUAAGGUAACGGCUUACCAAGACAACGAUGCGUAGCCGACCUGAGAGGGUGAUCGGCCACACUGGAACUGAGACACGGUCCAGACUCCUACGGGAGGCAGCAGUAGGGAAUCUGCCGCAAUGGGCGAAAGCCUGACGGAGCAACGCCGCGUGAGUGAUGAAGGUCUUCGGAUCGUAAAACUCUGUUAUUAGGGAAGAACAAAUGUGUAAGUAACUAUGCACGGCUUGACGGUACCUAAUCAGAAAGCCACGGCUAACUACGUG
RNAcentral lists this ribosomal RNA (497 nucleotides) under uncultured bacterium. RNAcentral describes it as "partial 16S ribosomal RNA". It matches the Rfam family "Bacterial small subunit ribosomal RNA", at positions 28 to 507 of the family's 1533-position model. The record is from RNAcentral.